RNAcentral lists this ribosomal RNA (429 nucleotides) under Pseudomonadota bacterium. RNAcentral describes it as "Proteobacteria bacterium partial 16S ribosomal RNA". It matches the Rfam family "Bacterial small subunit ribosomal RNA", at positions 356 to 776 of the family's 1533-position model. Lineage: Bacteria; Pseudomonadati; Pseudomonadota. The record is from RNAcentral.
UGGGAAUAUUGGACAAUGGGGGGAACCCUGAUCCAGCCAUGCCGCGUGUGUGAAGAAGGCCUUAUGGUUGUAAAGCACUUUAAGCGAGGAGGAGGGUACUGGUAUUAAUACUACCAGGUACUGGACGUUACUCGCAGAAUAAGCACCGGCUAACUCUGUGCCAGCAGCCGCGGUAAUACAGAGGGUGCGAGCGUUAAUCGGAUUUACUGGGCGUAAAGCGUGCGUAGGCGGCUAAUUGAGUCGGAUGUGAAAUCCCCGAGCUUAACUUGGGAAUUGCAUUCGAUACUGGUUAGCUAGAGUGUGGGAGAGGAUGGUAGAAUUCCAGGUGUAGCGGUGAAAUGCGUAGAGAUCUGGAGGAAUACCGAUGGCGAAGGCAGCCAUCUGGCCUAACACUGACGCUGAGGUACGAAAGCAUGGGGAGCAAACAGG